Molecule: ribosomal RNA, 496 nt
Filed under: uncultured bacterium
Lineage: Bacteria
Description: partial 16S ribosomal RNA
Rfam family: Bacterial small subunit ribosomal RNA
Source: RNAcentral
GAUGAACGCUGGCGGCGUGCCUAAUACAUGCAAGUCGAGCGAACAGACGAGGAGCUUGCCCUUUGACGUUAGCGGCGGACGGGUGAGUAACACGUGGGUAACCUACCUAUAAGACUGGGAUAACUUCGGGAAACCGGAGCUAAUACCGGAUAAUAUUUCGAACCGCAUGGUUCGAUAGUGAAAGAUGGCUUUGCUAUCACUUAUAGAUGGACCUGCGCCGUAUUAGCUAGUUGGUAAGGUAACGGCUUACCAAGGCAACGAUACGUAGCCGACCUGAGAGGGUGAUCGGCCACACUGGAACUGAGACACGGUCCAGACUCCUACGGGAGGCAGCAGUAGGGAAUCUUCCGCAAUGGGCGAAAGCCUGACGGAGCAACGCCGCGUGAGUGAUGAAGGUCUUCGGAUCGUAAAACUCUGUUAUUAGGGAAGAACAAACGUGUAAGUAACUGUGCACGUCUUGACGGUACCUAAUCAGAAAGCCACGGCUAACUACGUG